AAAAGCUCGUAGUUGGAUCUCAGCUCGGGCCGGACGGUCCGCCUACCGGUGGUUACUGUUCGCUGCUCAGCGUUCGGUCGGAUGUACCCGAUGAUCUUCACCGGUUGUCUCGUGCGUCCGGCAAGUUUACUUUGAAAAAAUUAGAGUGCUCAACGCAGGCGUGAUGCCUGAAUAUUUGUGCAUGGAAUAAUGGAAUAGGACCUCGGUUCUAUUUUGUUGGUUUUCGGAACACGAGGUAAUGAUUAAGAGGGACAGACGGGGGCAUUCGUAUUGCGACGCUAGAGGUGAAAUUCUUGGACCGUCGCAAGACGAACUACUGCGAAAGCAUUUGCCAAGAAUGUUUCCAUUAAUCAAGAACGAAAGUUAGAGGUUCGAAGGCGAUCAGAUACCGCCCUAGUUCUAACCAUAAACGAUGCCAGCCAGCGAUCCGGCUGUGUUCCUCAAAUGACACGCCGGGCAGCUUCCGGGAAACCAAAGCUUUUGGGUUCCGGGGGAAGUAUGGUUGCAAAGCUGAAACUUAAAGGAAUUGACGGAAGGGCACCACCAGGCAUGGAGCAUGCGGCUCAAUUUGACUCAACACGGGGAAACUUAUCCGGCCCGGACACAGGAAGGAUUGACAGAUUAAGAGCUCUUUCUUGAUUCUGUGGGUGGUGGUGCAUGGUCGUUCUUAGUCCGUUGGGUGACUUGUCAGGUUAAUUCCGAUAACGAACGAGACUCUAGCCUACUAAAUAGACGUUCCGGUCCUCUUUAGCCGGACGUUCUUCUUAGAGGGACAAGCGGCGUCCAGCCGCACGAGACAGAGCAAUAACAGGUCUGAGAUGCCCUUAGAUGUCCGGGGCCGCACGCGCGCUACAUUGAAGGAGUCAGCGUGUUCUCUCCCUGUCCGACAGGACUGGGUAACCCGUUGAACCUCCUUCGUGCUGGGGAUAGAAAAUUGUAAUUAUUUUUCUUGAACGAGGAAUUCCCAGUAAGCACGAGUCAUCAGCUCGUGUUGAUUACGUCCCUGCCCUUUGUGCACACCGCCCGUCGCUACUACCGAUUGAAUGAUUUAGUGAGGUCUUCGGAUUGGCGCUCGGAUUGGCCUUCGCGGUCGAGCCGACGUGCCGAAAAGACGAUCAAACUUGAUUAUUUAGAGGAAGUAAAAGUCGUAACAAGGUUUUC
Molecule: ribosomal RNA, 1161 nt
Filed under: Micrathena gracilis
Lineage: Eukaryota; Metazoa; Arthropoda; Arachnida; Araneae; Araneidae
Description: SSU rRNA
Rfam family: Eukaryotic small subunit ribosomal RNA
Source: RNAcentral